Molecule: unclassified non-coding RNA, 250 nt
Filed under: plant metagenome
Description: partial contains small subunit ribosomal RNA, internal transcribed spacer 1, and 5.8S ribosomal RNA
Source: RNAcentral
GUAGGUGAACCUGCGGAAGGAUCAUUGUCGAACCUUUAAAAAACAGACCGCGAACACGUGUUUAACACCGUUGGGGACGGUGCGGGGGGUAACCCUCUGCCGUGUCCCAUCUCCUGCCGGCGUGUAUCUUCGGGUCACGUCGUGCGGGCUAACGAACCCCGGCGCGGAAUGCGCCAAGGAAAACAAAACGAAGCGUUUCCCCCUGGCAUCCCGUUCGCGGAGUGUGCUGGGGGAGCAGACGUCUAUCAAA